GUCUUCUUGAAGUUUAUUUGAAGUCUGACCUGCCCACUGAAAAUUAAAUGGCCGUGGUAUAUUGACCGUGCUAAGGUAGCAUAAUCAUUAGUUUCUUAAUUAGAAUCUGGAAUGAAGGGUUGAAUAAGAAAAAAGCUGUCUCUAUUUAAUUAUUUUAGAAAUUUAUAUUUAAAUUAAAAAGUUUAAAUUUAUUUGAAAGACGAGAAGACCCUAUAGAGUUUAAUUAUAUAAAGAUUAUUUAUUUAAGAAUUAUUAAAAAUAAUUAUAAAAUAAUUUAGUUGGGGUGAUUAAAAAAUUUAAAAAACUUUUUUUUAUUAAGUACAUUAAUUAGUGAGUAAAUGAUCCAGAUAUUUUGAUUAAAAGAAUAAAUUACCUUAGGGAUAACAGCGUAAUUUUUUUAGAGAGUUCAUAUUAAAAAAAAAGAUUGCGACCUCGAUGUUGGAUUAAAAUUUAUAUUUGGUGUAGGGGCUAAAUAAUUAAGUCUGUUCGACUUUUAAAAUUUUACA
Molecule: ribosomal RNA, 506 nt
Filed under: Leptinotarsa dahlbomi
Lineage: Eukaryota; Metazoa; Arthropoda; Insecta; Coleoptera; Chrysomelidae
Description: partial 16S ribosomal RNA
Rfam family: Bacterial large subunit ribosomal RNA
Source: RNAcentral